UAAGGAAUAUUGGUCAAUGGACGCAAGUCUGAACCAGCCAUGCCGCGUGAAGGAUGAAGGUCCUCUGGAUUGUAAACUUCUUUUAUCUGGGACGAAAACGGGCUUUUUAUCUCAAUUGACGGUACCAGAGGAAUAAGCACCGGCUAACUCCGUGCCAGCAGCCGCGGUAAUACGGAGGGUGCGAGCGUUAUCCGGAUUUACUGGGUUUACAGGGUGCGUAGGUGGGCUUAUAAGUCAGUGGUGAAAUCUCCGAGCUUAACUUGGAAACUGCCGUUGAUACUAUAGGUCUUGAAUUAUCUGGAGGUAAGCGGAAUAUGUCAUGUAGCGGUGAAAUGCUUAGAUAUGACAUAGAACACCAAUUGCGAAGGCAGCUUACUACAUAUAAAUUGACGCUGAGGCACGAAAGCGUGGGGAUCAAACA
RNAcentral lists this ribosomal RNA (421 nucleotides) under uncultured bacterium. RNAcentral's name for it is "bacterial SSU rRNA". It matches the Rfam family "Bacterial small subunit ribosomal RNA", at positions 355 to 774 of the family's 1533-position model. The record is from RNAcentral.